GGGGAUGUGGUCCAAUGGUACGAUCCGUCUGGUUUGACCAAUCGGGAUGCCGGUUCGAGUCCGGCCUUCUCCA
Oleoguttula mirabilis is the source of this 73-nucleotide non-coding RNA. Lineage: Eukaryota; Fungi; Ascomycota; Dothideomycetes; Mycosphaerellales; Teratosphaeriaceae. The record is from the annotation of a GenBank genome assembly.